This is a long non-coding RNA of Mesocricetus auratus (golden hamster), 1283 nucleotides long. RefSeq lists it as uncharacterized. The record is from RefSeq and is a predicted model, not a curated record. The transcript is spliced from 3 exons. NCBI's taxonomy places the organism in Eukaryota, Metazoa, Chordata, Mammalia, Rodentia, Cricetidae.
AUGACUUAUGUUCUCUGUUGAAUGGGAAAGGUGGGGGUUAUUACAAAGACAAAAAUUUUCGGUGACAUGAAAUAAGUACCAAACACCCUUGCAGAAAGCUAACGGUUCCUUGUAGAGCUGCCUGAUGUGAUGGGAGCACAGCAAGCCUUCAAAGCAGUCAUUUAGUUUCUGCCUGGUCCUGCUUUCUUUUGUGUCUCUUCUUCCAUGUAAUCCAGUCUGCCCCUGGAACAGAAGCUGUCUGUGGUCAUUAAGCGAGUGCUUGCAGAAACUGGGCUGUUGACUCAGCAUUUGGCUAGAGAAUACGAGUCUUUUCAGUGAAAGCUUGGUUUCAUUUUUGUUAGGCCAGCAGAGAGUAGUGCCACAAUGGCUUUCCUGGUUGAAAGGAUUAAAAAAAUUUUUUGCUGACAUUUCAGUCUCUGAGUAUAAUGGUAGGGGUGUGUUUUCUACCUUUUCCUUGUACUUUCUGUCUUAAGUAGCCCAAAUAAGAACCUCCAGUAUCUGUGAUAGAAAAAGAUAAAAAUGAAAAUCCAAAUAGAUGAUGGUUGGUUGGAUGGAUGGAUGGAUGGAUGGAUGGAUGGAUGAAUGAAUAGGUAGAUUGAUAAGUAAGUAGGUAGAUAGGUAGGUAGGUAGAUAAAUAGGUAGGUACACAAGUAGGUAGGUGGAUAGAAUGAUUGCCUUUUAACUUUCCUUGAAGCUCUUCACUUCUUCCCUGUCCCAUUCCCUUUUUUUCCGGCCCUCCUUCAUAUACCUAUAUGUUAUUAUUAUUAGUGUCUUUAUAAACCAUCUUAUUUACAGGAGAAAACAGUCAACUGUUUUGUAACCUUAAUGCUGCAACAUUCCAGUUCCCACGUCAGAGCUGAUUUGCUGGAAAAGGCCUUCCAAGAACUGUGCUGGGAGGUCUGCAGGAGUGCUGACACAGAACUGUAAUCUCCUGCUGUAACAGUGCCUUCCCUGGAACCAUCCUGAGAGCCUGCCAAAGACUCUUCCUUCAGAAGAAUCGUUCUUCAGCAGAGUAUACAGCAAGGUGAAUUAUACUGAAUAUGAUACCACCUAGCAGUGCACUGAGCCCUUUCCCUAUGGCAUCUUACUGAACUGUCACUUGCACUUAUGAAAGUAAGUAGAGAUGCUAACUGAUGGUCUACCCAUUACUUUUCAUACUGUGAUAAAAUGUCUGACAAAACUAAGGAUGGGAGGGUUUAUAUUGGCUCACAGGCUAAGGGUACAGUCUAUUAUGGCAGGGAAUCAUGGUGGCAGUAAGCAGUUAGAAUCCUGAUGUCCCCAAA